Phyllopteryx taeniolatus (common seadragon) is the source of this 536-nucleotide long non-coding RNA. RefSeq lists it as uncharacterized. The transcript is spliced from 3 exons. Lineage: Eukaryota; Metazoa; Chordata; Actinopteri; Syngnathiformes; Syngnathidae. The record is from RefSeq and is a predicted model, not a curated record.
GAAGGCAGCGCGGGCUCCACACUUCGAAUGAAGACAUGACGAUAAAAAGAUCAAAUCAACAGAGAGAGGUAAAGUCAACCACAGUUCAGAUCUUGAUUGGCUGAUGGAUAACUUGGAAACACACUCAGACGUAGCUAUACUUCUCAAGUGUGAGUGAGCACUUUUGGCGCCUCUGGGAGACAGAAAAGAAGAGAACUGGCGGAACAGAGCUAUAUUUCAUUCAUCUGAGAGGAUUUCAUCUGCCGCUAUGCUUUUUUUUAUUUUUUAUUUCACAUCUCCUCCCAAAUAAUAAUGGGAAAAAAAACCCAAAAAAACUCACACCACAAGGUUUGAAAAAGAUGCAUCGUUGGCUCCCGGCAAAGUUUUCAUCAAAGCACAAAGACAAUCAUUGUGAACAAGUAGCAAAAUAAAUCAUCCAUCCAUCUUUUUUUAAAUGCUUGUCCUUAUUAAGGUCACAGUUGAGCUGGAGCCAAUCACAGCUGACUUUGGCUAGAAGGUGGAGCACAACCUGAACUCACAUUCACACCUAUUGGGUG